GCCUAAGUGGCUCAGUCGGUCGAGCAUCUGACUUCAGCUCAGGUCAUGAUCUCACGGUUCAUGGGUUCGAGCCCCGUGUCAGGCU
Molecule: transfer RNA, 85 nt
Filed under: Felis catus (domestic cat)
Lineage: Eukaryota; Metazoa; Chordata; Mammalia; Carnivora; Felidae
Rfam family: tRNA
About the family: Transfer RNA (tRNA) molecules are approximately 80 nucleotides in length. Their secondary structure includes four short double-helical elements and three loops (D, anti-codon, and T loops).
Source: Rfam by way of RNAcentral